GACGCCAUGGUUUCCGUUCGCAGCUGUUCGUCGAAAACCAUGUUUCAUGAUGGUGGAGUCACGUCUGGUUCGGUCAGUUAGCAUCUCUGGAUCGACGAGGCCACAUACAAUACGUGAUGAAUGGUCACUAGGACAAGAGAGAAGUGUCCCUGUGGGACAUGGAGUUUCUUAGGCCAGGCUCAAAUGAUCCUGGAUGAACAGUAAAAUCAUAAAACAUUUUUUUAAAAUUCAAUCUUUGUUUGUGGCAAACAUUAAGAAAUGUUUCGAGUGCUUGCAAAGUUUAAUCACGGAAUACAUUUGUGUAAGUCAUGGCAAGAAAACAAAAUCGAUGCUCCAAAGAUGCUACUUUCGAAAGCAUUUUGAAGCGUUGAUUUUAAUAUAUAUUAUCUUUGCCACGACUUUCACGAAUGUGAUUCCAUGAUGAAAUUUGCAAGCACUCAAAACAUUCCUUAAUAUUUGUCACCAAAAGAAAAACAGAUUAUUUUUCAUAUAUAUUUUUGAUUUUACUGUUCAUGCCAGUAGCAUUUGAGCUCGAGCUCAGAGUAGGACUUUUCGGCCCUGUGCUACUUCCUCAGUGAUCCAAUCAUACACCAUCUUCCUGUGCAAUGGCCAUGGAGUAUCACUGUUAGUUGUGCACUGUGCUGAUGUUCUCAAAGUUGCGACUAGACCAGGUGGAGAACCUCAGAAAAUAGACAGAUAGAUUGGUACUGGUGUUGACGGGCAGCGGAGGGGACCUUAGCUGCUGCUAACCGGAUAACCCCAUCUUUUAUUCGCCUCUUCAAGAGGAAGAGAUGCUGUCACGCACUGUCCGAUCGCGACGUCCUACCAAAACCAAUCACUCUCACAUUCACGGACACAACAGUAACUGCCACCACUAGGGGGUACCCGAAAAAUCGGUGGAUCAACAUGUGGAUUUUCACCCAGACUGGUAAUUUUCACUCACUGCAUCCGUCAGAGGACAUGGCCAAAUUCUGAAUUCCUCCACAGGCCUUGACACAGGCCACUGAGGUCCAGUUCUGAAUAGAGCUACAGCUUUGUAUAUCAUCAGUUAAGUGCAGGAAACAACACACCAACAGAUUUCUCAGUUCCUAAAACAAGAAUUUCCCUCUAAAGAACAGAACAAAUGAAAUCAAAAGGGCUUCAUGAAUAAGUCAAUGUUAAGGAACAGUUUGGUUCGCAGGGCAGUUCCAAUGGGGAACAUAAGGAGCAUAAACAGGAGGACGGAGUGCAUGGUCUUCUCGACGCGUAACUGUGGGGAUCUAUAAGGUCCAUGUUUCCCUGACAUGAACAUUUCCCAACUUCGAUCCUACAACAAUAGAUAUGCGCCGCUUCCGGCGCGGGGGGAGGGGAUCGGAUCCGCGCAAGCCAGCCAGUCAAUCAUCCCCUGCCGUGCAAUCUCUAAAAUGGUGCUGGCUUUGGCGGCAGAUGGACCGGAGGAGGUCGUGUGGGAACUGAAUGGUGCUGAUCACCAUCAACACUUGCCGCAAUAACUUACAAGCUCGAUGAAACUACAUUUCGUCGAGUCAC
RNAcentral lists this long non-coding RNA (1527 nucleotides) under Triticum aestivum (bread wheat). RNAcentral's name for it is "long non-coding RNA (TAES_LNC004896)". The record is from RNAcentral. Lineage: Eukaryota; Viridiplantae; Streptophyta; Magnoliopsida; Poales; Poaceae.